Molecule: unclassified non-coding RNA, 258 nt
Filed under: Hevea brasiliensis (rubber tree)
Lineage: Eukaryota; Viridiplantae; Streptophyta; Magnoliopsida; Malpighiales; Euphorbiaceae
Source: RNAcentral
CCCCCCUCACUUAUCUCCCUGUACUCUCCAUGUCCUUGCUUCUUUAGGGCUUCUCGUUUCUCAACUUCUCUCUUCAGAGCUGCAAUCCUGUCCGCAUGCAGUUUUUCCAGCUCAGGAUCAUCCAUCAACUCAUCGAGGUCAACCUCUUGGUUGAUAGAACUUGAUGUCUGCGCUUUAUCUUGAGCAAUCAAUUCCUUCUGAUAAUCACGAGCAGCCGCUGCCAUAACAUUGCCAAAAGCUAGGUUAGAUAAAGUUGAU